AUACAUUCCAGUGUAAUUGGCAGCCUGUCUUCCUAUCACAUGAAAAACAAACAAACAAAACACAAAAACAGAAAUUGUAUCUUUAAAUGGUGUUUUAUUCUGAGAAGAGGGGAUCAUCAUCCUGAAGAUCUGUUCUCCAGCUCUUCUUUCCUCAGAAGGCUAUACAGGGAGAAGACAGGAAAGCCGUCAGUCAUUUCAAAGAUCACUCCCUGCCCAACUCAGCUAAGCUCCCAGUCAACUAGAAAUGGACUUUGAGUUCUCAGCAGCAGAGCUAUUCAAAGACAGAUGGCUUAGGACUCAAAGGGGAUGGACACCUGCAGUGGUCAAAGCCAGGGGACAUCCAAAGGGUUAGAGAUGAGAACUAAGGGAUGGAGCCUGGCGUCAUGGCAUGGAGCUGGCUUGGGAAAUGGAAACAUGAUACCAGCUGGAAAUGUAAAUGUUGUAGUAGAAACAGCUUCGGAGAAACAGCAGUGACAAGAUAUGCAGCCCUUACCCUCUCACAGAACUUAUAACCUGGAUGAGCUGUGUCAGCGGUAAUACUAGGCAUAACUGCUGGUAUACUGGUAGGUGAAAAAAACUCUGGAACUACCAUAAGAUGAAGAAAUACAAGACAAGAUUGAUG
This 622-nucleotide long non-coding RNA is filed under the name Cricetulus griseus (Chinese hamster). RNAcentral describes it as "lncRNA (ENSCGRG00015033504.1)". Lineage: Eukaryota; Metazoa; Chordata; Mammalia; Rodentia; Cricetidae. The record is from RNAcentral.